Rhodamnia argentea is the source of this 215-nucleotide long non-coding RNA. RefSeq lists it as uncharacterized. The record is from RefSeq and is a predicted model, not a curated record. NCBI's taxonomy places the organism in Eukaryota, Viridiplantae, Streptophyta, Magnoliopsida, Myrtales, Myrtaceae. The transcript is spliced from 2 exons.
CUCUUCAGAUUUCGGCAAGCCACGUCUCUGAACGCCGAUCAGCAAAGUUUCAUCCAGGCAUAUGUGGGGAUUAUUUUCUCAAAUAUGCUUCUAACUCCAACUCCAUGAGUUCUCCUGUCAAAGCAGAGGAUCCAAUCGAGAGAUUGAAAGGAGACGUGAGGAAGAUGUUGACAGAGGCUAUGGAUAAGCCUUCCCAGAAGUUGAACUUAAUCGAC